This 305-nucleotide ribosomal RNA is filed under the name uncultured bacterium. Its description in RNAcentral is "bacterial SSU rRNA". It matches the Rfam family "Bacterial small subunit ribosomal RNA", at positions 335 to 656 of the family's 1533-position model. The record is from RNAcentral.
UGCCUACGGGAGGCAGCAGUGGGGAAUCUUGCACAAUGGGCGAAAGCCUGAUGCAGCAACGCCGCGUGAGCGAAGAAGGCCUUUGGGUCGUAAAGCUCUGUCCUAAGGGAAGAAGGAAGUGACGGUACCUUAGGAGGAAGCCCCGGCUAACUACGUGCCAGCAGCCGCGGUAAUACGUAGGGGGCAAGCGUUAUCCGGAAUUAUUGGGCGUAAAGAGUACGUAGGUGGUUUUGUAAGCGCGGGGUGAAAGGCAGUGGCUUAACCAUUGUAAGCCUUGCGAACUGCAAGACUUGAGUGCAGGAGAG